GUAUUCGCAUGUAUCAAAAAUAGACCUACAGCUGUUUGGGGGCUUUUUCAAGACACAGUGGGCAUGCAACUUGGAUUAUGAACUGUAUUUCUGCCAUUAGCCCCUGUUUUUAUUUUAUUUUAUUUUUUUAUUACCGGUUUGACUGACUCGUACAUUUAGUGGGCUACUUCGUCGAAUAGAUAAAAAGCAAAGGAAUGCGCUGGUUUCUUUGCUUCACAUGCUCAGCAAACUGGCUAUAUCUUCCGUAAUUGCGUUCAUGAUCAUUGACAAUGUAUAAAAUCUGACAUGCAUCAUACUUCUAAUAAACAAAACAGUACAAGGAAAUGAGGAGGUGGAGGAUGAGCAGCAGCAGGAGGAGGAGGAUUGCUAACAUGCCCUCACACUCACCUUCAACAAGCAGAAUAAACUGUAGACUCUCUUCCUAGGCAAACGUGAAGUUAGCAUGCCUCUGGCAUAUCAUUUUCUGUCUGGGGUGUGAAUGAGUGCUGUCACUUCAAUCCACUGGACUUAGGUAUUCCUUAUAGUCAGCAGAACUGGUGUAGUGUCUCGAUGGACUACUGCCAUCACAAUGCAAUGCACUAUAUGUUCAGCAGAGGGAGAUGUAGUACAAUUAUGUGUCCAUUAUUACAGUGCAAGUAUAUUUAAAUUGGAAGUUCCAAAUGUAGCUGUAUGAAAAAGCAGGAUUCUCCCUUAUACUUCUAUAGCUAAAAAUGUACAGAAUUAGAGUCACGUCCAGCCUCUUAGUUGUCAUUUGCAUUAUGUUUCAUGCAUCCAACACUAUGUUUUCCAAAUUAAAAUUAUGUUGCUUGCAAAAAAUGUAAGUGUAGUAGUUUGAUCUGGGUCAAUUACAUGUGUAUUUAAACAUUUUUACUUGAAAUUGCUACUCACUGUGUAUUUGAAAAAUUUAAAAUAAAAUAAAUACUUCUGUUUGUAAAACUUAAAAUAUUAUUUGGAAAAGAUAAAUUACAUUGUAUUUGAGUAUUUGCAACACAUUCCAAUACUUUUUCAAAUAAAAUUCAUUUAAAAUUUCCAAAACUA
Molecule: long non-coding RNA, 1038 nt
Organism: Anguilla anguilla (European eel)
Lineage: Eukaryota; Metazoa; Chordata; Actinopteri; Anguilliformes; Anguillidae
Exons: 2
Source: RefSeq, a predicted model, not a curated record